This 335-nucleotide RNase P RNA is filed under the name bovine gut metagenome. RNAcentral's name for it is "Bacterial RNase P class B". It matches the Rfam family "Bacterial RNase P class B". From Rfam's summary of the family: Ribonuclease P (RNase P) is a ubiquitous endoribonuclease, found in archaea, bacteria and eukarya as well as chloroplasts and mitochondria. Its best characterised activity is the generation of mature 5'-ends of tRNAs by cleaving the 5'-leader elements of precursor-tRNAs. The record is from RNAcentral.
UGACAAACGCUGCAUAUAUUAUGUAGAGGAAAGUCCAUGCUCACAAAAGCUGCGAUGCUUUUAGUGUUUGUGCUAGGGGAAAAAAUAACCCUAGGUAGCUUUAUGCUAACGGCUAUGAAAUAACCUAAGUCUUUGGAUAUGGUUAAAGUAAUUGUAAAAGUGCUAUAGUGAUGAAGAAUCUGGAAACGGAGGAAGUGGAACAUAGUAAACCCCACAAGUGAGAAACCCAAAUAAUGGUAGGGGAGUCUGGGAAGUGGAAAUGAACACAACCUAGGAUUAUAGAAAUAUAAUAGAUAAAUGUUUGCCACCCAAGUGGUACAGAACAUGGCUUAUAA